This 1996-nucleotide long non-coding RNA is filed under the name Anolis carolinensis (green anole). RNAcentral describes it as "lncRNA (ENSACAG00000037533.1)". Lineage: Eukaryota; Metazoa; Chordata; Lepidosauria; Squamata; Anolidae. The record is from RNAcentral.
GUUUUGUAUUUCUGGGGUGUUUAGUUGUGUUGUUACAACUGGGAGGCAAGGCUUUUGCAUUGUGUUGCCAAGUUUUGUAUUUCUGGGGUGUUUAGUUGUGUUGUUAUCACAUGAUGCGUUGUUCUCUGGUUGAGUUAGUCUGCAGUGCCUUUCAUGUUCUUUUACUCUUGUUUGGGCGCUGCGUUUGGUGGUCCCUAUGUAUAUUUGUCCACAGCUGCAUGGUAUCUGGUAGACUCCUGCAGAGGAGAGAGAACCCCUCUUGUCUUUCGCUGACUGUAGCAUUUGUUGGAUUUUCUUUGUGGGUCUGUAGAUAGUUUGUAGGUUGUGCUUAUUCAUCAGUUUGCCUAUGCAGUCAGUGGUUCCCUUGAUGUAUGGUAAGAACACCUUUCCUCUGGGUGGAUCUUUGGCUUGUUCUUGGCCUUACAGCUCUUCUGAUGUCUGUGGUGGAGUAUCCAUUGGCCUGUAGAGCCCAGUUUAGGUCCACCUUGGAGGAGGUGAGGUUCGCAGAUUCUUUGUGCAUGGUCUGUCAGGGCUUUGAUUGUGCUUCUUUUUUGACUUGGGUGAUGGUUGGAGUUUUUAUGAAGGUAUCUAUCUGUGUGUGUAGGUUGUGCUUCUUCAUCAGUUUGCCUAUGCGGUCAGUGGUUCCCUUGAUGUAUGGUAAGAACACCUUUCCUCUGGGUGGAUCUUUGUCUUGACUCUCAUGGCUUGUUCUUGGCCUUACAGCUUUUCUGAUGUCUGUGGUGGAGUAUCCAUUGGCCUGUAGAGUCCAGUUUAGGUAGUUUAGUUCACCUUGGAGGAGGUGAGGUUCGCAGAUUCUUUGUGCAUGGUCUGUCAGGGCUUUGAUUGUGCUUCUUUUUUGACUUGGGUGAUGGUUGGAGUUUUUAUGAAGGUAUCUAUCUGUGUGUGUAGGUUUUCUGUAAACUGUGUGGCCCAAUUGUUGAUUGGGUUUGCAGAUGACCAAAACAUCUAGAAAUGGCAGUUUUCCUUCCUUUUCUUUUUCCAUGGUGAAUUGGAUGUUUGGGUGGUUGCUGUUAAGGUGGUCCAGGAACUUGCUGAGUUCUUCCUCUCCAUGGCUCCAAAUUGUGAAGGUGUCAUCUACGUAUCUGAACCAAACAGUUUGCUUUUUUAGUGCUGUUUCUAGGGCUUGUUUUUCAAAGUGUCCAUAUAGAAAUUUGCUACUACUGUGCUGAGGGGGCUCACCAUGGCCACUCCAGUAUGGAUUGUCGAUGUUGCAAUCCCAGGUGACAGCUAGAAAACAACUAGGUGAAACAACUAGAAAAGCUGGCAUGAUAUGAGGAUUUAAAGAUCGAAUUGCAAAGACUGUGGCACAAGCCAGUCAAGGUGGUCCCAGUGGUGAUCGGCACACUGGGUGCAGUGCCUAAAGACCUUGGCUUGCACUUGAACACAAUCGGCGCUGACAAAAUUACCAACUGCCAGCUGCAGAAAGCCACCUUACUGGGAUAUGCACGCAUCAUUCGCCGAUACAUCACACAGUCCUAGACACUUGGGAAGUGUUCGGUGUGCGAUCCAGUACAACAGCCAGCAGAGUGUCUGCUGUGAACUCAUCUUGUUGUGUUUCAAAUAAUAAUAAUCAUCAUCAUCAUCUUUAUAUGUAUCCCGCUUUUCUCCCUAAACAGGACCCAAAGCGGCUCACAGCAUUGUGUAAAAGACAAUAUAAAGCAAUAUACACAUAUAAAGCAACAACCUAUAAAAACAAUUGUACAAUCAGAAAUAAACAUAUUUGAAAACAUUUAUCUAAUAUAGUUAUUGCAAGCUACUCAACAAGACAGAUGGUAAAAUUAACACGACUCAAUAAAAGUUAGUCUUCCUGUCAUUACAGCUAAGUGUCUUCAUCAAAAGCUUGCACAAACAGGAAGGUUUUUAGCUGCUUUCUAAAACAAGUCAGGGAGGGGGUUGUUUUAACCUCCUUGGGGAGGGAGUUCCAAAGAGUUGGAGCAACCACCGAGAAGGCCCUCUCUCUCAUUGCUGCCAACCG